GGUCCCUCCCCACCCCAGGGAGGAAACAGCACCCGGAGGGAGCAGCCGACUCUUGUGCACCGGCCUAUGCCUGACACUGAAGAACCAUCCCCAGCCGAGCCCGCCUGCAGCCCUGAGCUCUCCACACAGGCAGCCACGGAAAGCAUCUUGGCCCCAGAACACGCCGCAGGUGGCAGGCCCUCGGGUGCCUGCAGAGCCGGGUGGGCACCACGGUCACGAGAUGUUCAGAAGGUUGGGCAGCAUGAAGACACACCUCAGCCAGAUGUGGGGAACCAGAGGAGGCCUUCUGGAGACCUGGGGACCGGAGGUGAUUCGGCGGCUACAUCUAGACUAACCAACCCUCCCUGAGUCUAUUCCGCGUGCCUUUGCUAAGUGCCGCGUGAAGGUGAAGGAAAAUGCUGGUCUGCGGAGGAAGCUCCCCUCGUGGGGCCUCCUCAGCCCCUGGUGCCCUGCAGGGUGGGGGCGCCCCCAGGCCAGGCCAGGCUGCGGGAACCCCGGGCUCCGAUGCUCCGACAGUCAGGGCAGGACAGGGACUUUCCCUAAUGCCAAACAGGGGGAGGCCUUGGUCAUACAGGGGGCCAAGGUCGCGCAGGAGCGUGUGGCAAGGCCAGAACUCAGCGCCCAGACUCCCCAGCCCGGGCUUUCGAGUCACCCGCGUGGGCCUCAGACAAAGCGCCAGGUUCUCAGGAAUCCUCCGGAUGGGUGAUGCGACCGUCUCCCGUCCGAGCCCAGGUCCUGCGCUGCGCUGUGGGGCGGGAGGAC
Long non-coding RNA from Canis lupus familiaris (dog), 762 nucleotides. RefSeq lists it as uncharacterized. The transcript has 3 exons. The record is from RefSeq and is a predicted model, not a curated record. Lineage: Eukaryota; Metazoa; Chordata; Mammalia; Carnivora; Canidae.